RNAcentral lists this ribosomal RNA (377 nucleotides) under uncultured bacterium. Its description in RNAcentral is "bacterial SSU rRNA". It matches the Rfam family "Bacterial small subunit ribosomal RNA", at positions 521 to 896 of the family's 1533-position model. The record is from RNAcentral.
UAAUACGGAGGGUGCAAGCGUUGCUCGGAAUUAUUGGGCGUAAAGGGUAGGUAGGUGGUCUCAUUUGUCUGGGGUGAAAGCCUUGAGCUUAACUCAAGAAGUGCCCCAGAAACGGUGAGACUGGAGUCCUGGAGAGGGUCGUGGAAUUCCCGGUGUAGCGGUGAAAUGCGUAGAGAUCGGGAGGAACACCAGAGGCGAAAGCGGCGACCUGGACAGGUACUGACACUCAACUACGAAAGCGUGGGGAGCAAACAGGAUUAGAUACCCUGGUAGUCCACGCUGUAAACGAUGGGUACUAGGUUUGGUGGGUCUUGACCCCCGCCGAACCGGCGCUAACGCACUAAGUACCCCGCCUGGGAAGUACGGUCGCAAGACUA